Molecule: ribosomal RNA, 481 nt
Filed under: Escherichia coli
Lineage: Bacteria; Pseudomonadati; Pseudomonadota; Gammaproteobacteria; Enterobacterales; Enterobacteriaceae
Description: bacterial SSU rRNA
Rfam family: Bacterial small subunit ribosomal RNA
Source: RNAcentral
AAAGUCGUUGGCGGUAGGCCUAUACAUGCACGUCGUAACAAGGUAACCGUAAGCUGGCUUCUUUGCCCGUAGUGGCGGACGGGUGAGUAAUGUCUGGGAAACUGCCUGAUGGAGGGGGAUAACUACUGGAAACGGUAGCUAAUACCGCAUAACGUCGCAAGACCAAAGAGGGGGACCUUCGGGCCUCUUGCCAUCGGAUGUGCCCAGAUGGGAUUAGCUAGUAGGUGGGGUAACGGCUCACCUAGGCGACGAUCCCUAGCUGGUCUGAGAGGAUGACCAGCCACACUGGAACUGAGACACGGUCCAGACUCCUACGGGAGGCAGCAGUGGGGAAUAUUGCACAAUGGGCGCAAGCCUGAUGCAGCCAUGCCGCGUGUAUGAAGAAGGCCUUCGGGUUGUAAAGUACUUUCAGCGGGGAGGAAGGGAGUAAAGUUAAUACCUUUGCUCAUUGACGUUACCCGCAGAAGAAGCACCGGCUAAC